AUACGUAGGUGACAAGCGUUAUCCGGAUUUACUGGGUGUAAAGGGCGUGUAGGCGGUUUAGCAAGUCAGAAGUGAAAUUCCCGGGCUUAACUUGGGCGCUGCUUCUGAAACUGCUUUACUUGAGUGCUGGAGAGGAUAGUGGAAUUCCUAGUGUAGCGGUAAAAUGCGCAGAUAUUAGGAGGAACACCGGUGGCGAAGGCGGCUAUCUGGACAGUAACUGACGCUGAGGCGCGAAAGCACGGGGAGCAAACAGGAUUAGAUACCCUGGUAGUCCGUGCCGUAAACGAUGAAUACUAGGUGUAGGGGGUAUCGACUCCCUCUGUGCCGCAGUUAACACAUUAAGUAUUCCACCUGGGGAGUACGGCCGCAAGGUUGAAACUCAAAUGAAUUGGCGGGG
RNAcentral lists this ribosomal RNA (397 nucleotides) under uncultured bacterium. RNAcentral's name for it is "partial 16S ribosomal RNA". It matches the Rfam family "Bacterial small subunit ribosomal RNA", at positions 523 to 918 of the family's 1533-position model. The record is from RNAcentral.